CCUACGGGAGGCAGCAGUGGGGGAUAUUGCACAAUGGGGGAAACCCUGAUGCAGCGACGCCGCGUGGGUGAAGAAGCGCCUCGGCGCGUAAAGCCCUGUCAGCAGGGAAGAAAAUGACGGUACCUGAAGAAGAAGCCCCGGCUAACUACGUGCCAGCAGCCGCGGUAAUACGUCGGGGGCAAGCGUUAUCCGGAUUUACUGGGUGUAAAGGGGGCGCAGACGGGGAUGCAGGCCAGGAGUGAAAGCCCGGGGCCCAACCCCGGGACUGCUCUUGGAACUGCGUGGCUAGAGUGCAGGAGGGGCAGGCGGAAUGCGUGGUGUAGCGGUGAAAUGCGUAGAUAUCAGGAGGAACACCGGUGGCGAAGGCGGCCUGCUGGACUGCAACUGACGUUGAGGCCCGAAAGCGUGGGGAGCAAACAGGAUUAGAUACCCCUGUAGUC
Molecule: ribosomal RNA, 440 nt
Filed under: uncultured bacterium
Lineage: Bacteria
Description: partial 16S ribosomal RNA
Rfam family: Bacterial small subunit ribosomal RNA
Source: RNAcentral